GGAAGUGAAAGUCGUAACAAGGUUUCCGUAGGUGAACCUGCGGAAGGAUCAUUAAAAAUGAAGCCGGGAAACCGGUCCUUCUCACCCUUGAUUAUCUCAAUUUGUUGCUUUGGUGGGCCGCGCAAGCACCGGCUUCGGCUGGAUCGUGCCCGCCAGAGGACCACAACUCUGUAUUAUAUGUCGUCUGAGUACUAUAAAAUAGUUAAAACUUUCAACAACGGAUCUCUUGGUUCUG
RNAcentral lists this unclassified non-coding RNA (235 nucleotides) under plant metagenome. Its description in RNAcentral is "partial contains small subunit ribosomal RNA, internal transcribed spacer 1, and 5.8S ribosomal RNA". The stretch from base 1 to 54 matches the Rfam family "Eukaryotic small subunit ribosomal RNA", at positions 1778 to 1831 of the family's 1831-position model. The record is from RNAcentral.